CAGCCGCCGCGGUAACACAGAGGGUGCAAGCGUUAAUCGGAAUUACUGGGCGUAAAGCGCGCGUAGGUGGUUCGCCAAGUUGGAUGUGAAAUCCCCGGGCUCAACCUGGGAACUGCAUCCAAAACUGGCGAGCUAGAGUAUGGUAGAGGGUGGUGGAAUUUCCUGUGUAGCGGUGAAAUGCGUAGAUAUAGGAAGGAACAUCAGUGGCGAAGGUGACCACCUGGACUGAUACUGACACUGAGGUGCGAAAGCGUGGGGAGCAAACAGGAUUAGAUACCCGAGUAGUCCCUGUCUCUUAUAC
RNAcentral lists this ribosomal RNA (301 nucleotides) under uncultured bacterium. Its description in RNAcentral is "partial 16S ribosomal RNA". It matches the Rfam family "Bacterial small subunit ribosomal RNA", at positions 509 to 807 of the family's 1533-position model. The record is from RNAcentral.